Molecule: long non-coding RNA, 977 nt
Organism: Vigna angularis (adzuki bean)
Lineage: Eukaryota; Viridiplantae; Streptophyta; Magnoliopsida; Fabales; Fabaceae
Exons: 4
Source: RefSeq, a predicted model, not a curated record
UGGUUUAUCACAUAUUCACCCCAAUUUAGCACCUCUCCCUCCUGUGCCUUCAUUUCCCAAUCUUCUAAUUUUCGCAAGCCCUAGAGCGUGUAUCCACAAGCUUCUCUCUACUGAGAUUUUCCUGCAAGCUGUACCCACAAGCUUCUUUUCUCUACUAUGAUUCUUCAAGCAAAGCCUCUUAUUGUUCGUGGAGCUCUUCGGUUUGGGUUCGUUUUUGUCUUCCGUUGCUUAGGAACAAAAACGUAGUGCAUUUCUGGGUUGAACGACUUCGACCGUCAAGGAAUUGUUCGUCGAAGGUCCUGGUGCCUCCAAUCGAGGGGCUCUAGCGUGUGUUUGCUCCCACACCAACCAUCAGGUAUAAUAAUUUGUUACAAAUAAUCCUAUCAUAGUGAAGUUGAUUCCUGCAACUGGCGUUAUCAAUUUUGCAAUAUAGGGUGUUGGUCCAUUAUUGUUCCAGACAAGGAAAAUACUCUUCCAGGUUAUAUUGUUGUUAUUAUUCUUUUUUCCUGUAUUAACUAUUUAUCUUAUUCAAUGCAAUUGAUACGUAACUCUGAUAUUGUAGAGGAGUGAUAAUAGUUGGAAGAAAAGUACCACUGACUAUAUAGUAACUCCUUAACUUCGGCCAUUACUAUUAUGGACUGGAGCAAUACUUAUUUGCAGCUGCAGAGCAUUGGAGCCAUUAAUUCUACCUUCAGAACCAGGUUAGGUUGUUAAGGACCGGCUUCUGAAUUUUGUGAGAUCAUUAUCAACGGUUCUGGCCUUUGCCUAUUGUUUGUCAAGGUUCUACUAAGUUUUUGUUGUACCAGUUCACACAGAGUUUCAUUUUUUUUUUGUUGCAGCUGUCCUACAGUUGUAGUUUCUAUCUUUUAUUAAUAUUUUAUUUAUAAUUGUACAUUAAUUUAAAUUUAAAUGUUACUUGAUUGUAGACUUUCUGCGCUUCAGGACAUUGUAGCAAAGUUAUUUUCAUUUUCACAGCA